CCUACGGGAGGCAGCAGUGGGGAAUAUUGGACAAUGGGGGGAACCCUGAUCCAGCCAUGCCGCGUGUGUGAAGAAGGCCCUCGGGUUGUAAAGCACUUUCAGUGAGGAAGAACGCCUGGUGGUUAAUACCCAUCAGGAAAGACAUCACUCACAGAAGAAGCACCGGCUAACUCCGUGCCAGCAGCCGCGGUAAUACGGAGGGUGCGAGCGUUAAUCGGAAUUACUGGGCGUAAAGCGCGCGUAGGUGGCUUGAUAAGCCGGUUGUGAAAGCCCCGGGCUCAACCUGGGAACGGCAUCCGGAACUGUCAAGCUAGAGUGCAGGAGAGGAAGGUAGAAUUCCCGGUGUAGCGGUGAAAUGCGUAGAGAUCGGGAGGAAUACCAGUGGCGAAGGCGGCCUUCUGGACUGACACUGACACUGAGGUGCGAAAGCGUGGGUAGCAAACAGGAUUAGAACCCCGGUAGUC
Molecule: ribosomal RNA, 464 nt
Filed under: Vreelandella stevensii
Lineage: Bacteria; Pseudomonadati; Pseudomonadota; Gammaproteobacteria; Oceanospirillales; Halomonadaceae
Description: partial 16S ribosomal RNA
Rfam family: Bacterial small subunit ribosomal RNA
Source: RNAcentral